AGAGGAAGAGGAGCUUUUUCUUUGCAUCGGAAAAUUCAAAUUCAUCCACAGAAGGGUAGUGCAGACUCAACAGGAUCAUAUUCCUGACACACAAGCGUAUCAUGAGGACUCAAUAGGUCUAUAUACAUUAAAGGCUUAGUACACUGACUGACAAAUGGAUUGCUUUGUUUGUCAAGAAUCACUUGAUACGAGGUCAUGGCUAUCCUUGAUACAGUCCAU
Molecule: long non-coding RNA, 219 nt
Filed under: Homo sapiens (human)
Lineage: Eukaryota; Metazoa; Chordata; Mammalia; Primates; Hominidae
Description: HSALNT0052932
Source: RNAcentral